Molecule: ribosomal RNA, 156 nt
Filed under: Cladophoropsis membranacea
Lineage: Eukaryota; Viridiplantae; Chlorophyta; Ulvophyceae; Cladophorales; Boodleaceae
Also listed under: 4 other names
Description: 5.8S ribosomal RNA
Rfam family: 5.8S ribosomal RNA
About the family: 5.8S ribosomal RNA (5.8S rRNA) is a component of the large subunit of the eukaryotic ribosome. It is transcribed by RNA polymerase I as part of the 45S precursor that also contains 18S and 28S rRNA.
Source: RNAcentral
CACACUGUACAAUGGAUUUCUCGGCUCCCACAUCGAUGAAGAACGCAGCAAAGCGCGAUAGGUAGUGUGAAUUGCAGAAUACCGUGAAUCAUCGAAUUUUUGAACGCAUAUUGCGCCCGGGUUUGAGCCUGGGCAUGUCUGCCUCAGCGUCGAUUU